AGGGUCUCAGGUUACAUCUUCUGUCACCUCCUCAGCCAGGAUGCAGCCACUCUUUUAUAUCACUUUUACUGUCCUGUGCAGUCUGUCUCUCCUCCCUUCUGGGCUUUCCAUACAGUGUAAUGAAACACAAUAUUCUUGGCCAGUGCAACAACCCCAUUUGUGCUGUGAUCGUUGCCCACCAGGUACACAUCUUCGUUCUCGUCAUGUUGCAAAAUGUGAAAUUGAGUGCAUACCUUGCACGGAUGGCCUUUUCCGUGAGUCCUUCAACCUGGAACAAGACUGCGAAUUUUGUGCAAGUUGCAAAACACCGAACAUGGAGUUUGAGUCAGAAUGUAACGCCACUCAUAACGCUGUGUGCAGAUGUAAAGAUGGCUACCAGUGCAGGGAACAACCCUGUAAAGAGUGUGAGCCGAUACCAACCACCACCACACCCGUAACCCCCACUACAGCCCCGAAACCUCUUACCAACCCUGCCACACCCUCGGCAGCCAGUAAACCACUUGGAGAUAAAGUGUGGUUCCUGGUGAUUACUGCCCUCCUGUCUGCAGUAAUCGCACUCGUUGUUGUUACAAAUAGCAAACCCAUCCUGCGCUGGAUGAGAUCCAAGUCUGGCUGCCCUUUGACUAAACCAUAUCCACCAGUGACACCAUGCCCCCCGGACGGAGACGUAUCAAAGCCUGUCCAGGAAGCAGGAAAUGUGAAUAACCCGAAGAUGGAUACUGGACUUGGAUUACCACUAAUUUCACAUACGGACAUUUAGUGACAGAUCUCUUGUGGCUUUGGACAUUUUUUAUGAUAAAUGGAGGCAAACGUCACUUGGGUCAUGUUGAUGAAUGGAACCACACAACAUUUGUUUCAACACUGAUGCUGUUUCCUGAGAUGAAACAUGACUUUUUGACACCUGUGAUGUUAAAAUAAGUGUAUAAAAGGACAGAAAAGCACCUGAAAGGCACUGAGAUUACAGUGUGCGACACUGUGAAGCGUACGCAGUAUAUUUCAAAAACAGGGGUAUGUACUAUGGUACACAAAAGUUAAAGAUAUUUCACAUCUUAUAUACACAUUUAUAGGUGUAGGUAUAUAAAUAGACUUUUUGCUGCAUAUUCACAGUCUGAUUGUACAUAUAUGUGAAUGCUUUUAACUUACGGACAUUUCUACAUAGUUUUUGAAUUCACAAUAAAAUUUAAUUGCCAACCAAAUGCCUGUUAUUUAUGCAAAUAUUAUCAUGCAGGUACUUUAGAGAUAGCUGCCAGAGCUUAUUAACGAGUAUUUACAUCGUAAAUCAUAACUUACAAAGGAGAUUCCGGCUGUUCUUCCCAGAGUUAAAGUUUCUGAUGUGCACUAAACACAUGUUUUCCCAGAGCCUGCAGAUGAAAAUAUCUGUAGAACGCUGUGAUUCACAGUUUGCCAGAGAAAGAUGGCUAUGCUCCUCACUCAUCUGUGGUUGCGCAAUUUCAUCAUCCCGUCCUUUUCAGAGAAAGUUUUUGGAAUCAGUCUGGACUGCAGUGGUCACAACCACCGCUACAAAUCUUCUAUGGCUUUUGCGGUGCAUCAUAGCGCCUCCUCUUUGGACACGUGGUAAUCCUUCCCCUGCUCCUGGGAGGGAAAGAAAAUGCUGUCGUUCUCUCCACUCCUCUCCUCCUCAGAGAGAUGAAUACUGGGUGAGGAUGUGGGAUGAAACACAGGACAGUCCCUCUCUUCUUCUUCUUCUUCUUCGCCACGGGGCCUGUCAGCCGGCUUCCCCGCUUCAAUUGUCGGACCAACUUGGCCUGUGAACUGACUGAGCAAGCUAAAGAUAACCGUCCCCGGAUUGUGGACAUGGACUGGACCUACAGAGACAAAAAACAAGCAAAUAGUUCACUUAAACGAUGGAUUUAAUUGACCCAUACAAGUUGAAACACAGUGAAACAACUAGUCACAACUCAGACUCAUCACAGUAACACAGCUGCAUCUUUUACAUGCUUUGUUUUCAAAAUGACCCCACAGAGUGUGUCAAGUAUGGCACAUGAAAGUCUUCAUUUCACUCAUCAGUACCCAGAUUGGCUGCUGAAAGGGGCGGUGGCUGCUUUGCACUGAAUGAGUCUCUGGGGAACUGAUGCGUUGACUCCUUUGACUUGUGAGAAGCAUCUCGACCUCUCUAAAGAACAGAACAGGUCCAUCAGUGUGGGGCGAACAAAAGAGAAAUGGUGCCAUAUAUGGAGGUACUAGAUCGGAUUAAGGUUUGAAAUGAGCCACUUACCUCAUUGCAUAUCAGCAAUGCAAUAGCUGGAAAAAAAAAAGUAGAUGAAUAAAUUAAAAGAAGGAAGUCGUUCAGGAUUUACCCACCAAUGAUGACUCAACAUGUAAAUGUUUUACGAUCUGCAACGCCAAUGAAACCUUUUCUUGAUGACCAUAAAGUCAGAGGGUUCGAUUGGCUAAAGUGAGAUUCCAGUUGCUGAAGCUUUUCCUGGACAUGAACAAAAUCUCACCUUGCUUGAAACAUGAUUCAUCUCCAGGCCGACGAACGAAGAACAGGAUCAUGAGGGCCACGCAUGUUAUGACAACCACUGGACACAAGAUGGCUGCCAGCUGACUGCUCAUCUUGUCUGGAAAAAAAAGGGAAAAGAUUAGGUGUCCACAGCCAUUCUAGAGACUCCAUGAGGGUGUACUUAGGCUAAGCAGUGCCUUUAGCUAAAUGCUAACAUGCUCACAAUGACAAUGCUAAGCGGCUGAUGUAAGCAGGUAGUAUUGAGCAGGCACUCCAACGUUAUUUAGCCUACAGUGACAGCACAAGUUCAUGGUUAACUCAAUAAUGACAUCUCAAGAUAACAAAGCAAAUGUCUCUUGUGCUAAUGAAUUAAUUUAUAUCGUUAUGUAGGGAAAACAAAAGCCAGAUUUUUCAUGAUCAAGGCGGGGGAGACCAGGGGCAGUUAACCAUAUUCACACAACGGCCAUCUUCCUCUGACAUCGAGCUCAGGGUGGGAAGCUUAAAUGCUGGGAUAAUGCGAUGCUGUUGUGUUGCAGGUCGUAUAAACGCAGGGAUUCUGAGAAAUAACAAUCAUUCCAUCACUUUAAAUCGCUUGAAAAGUUAUUGUUCAAUGAAGAUCUGGAUGGAAACGGGGCCAUUUUUUUAGGUCCAGUCACAUAUUUGAUAAACCAUCAGAUAACAUUAGCAUUCAACCACUUCCUAGCUAACAGUACUGUUUGAUUUCAUCCAGUGCGUUUCACUUUCACGCUUAAAGAAAUGUGUAAAAAACAUGGGCUGAAGUAUUUAAUGCCUACCCUGCCAUGUAACGCCAUCAAACAGUAAUGCUAGCUAGAAAGUGGCUGGAUGCUCACGUGAGCUGUUGUCUAACCGAAGAUAAUGGUUCAUCAAAUGUGUUGUCUUAGCUUGAAAAAUGGCCUGAUUUCCCUCUGAAUAUUCACUAUCCAUUGUCUUUCCAGUUGCUAAUCAGCGUGGAAGCAGUGAAAUACUAACGAUAUUUCAGAUUCCAUGUGUCUAUGUGGCUUGCGAUCUGGAACACAGCAGUACCACAAAUAAGAUUCCCACACUGAGCGCUAAAAAUGGCCACUUGUAGUUUGUUUUUUUGUUUUGGUUUGAAGACAUUAUUCAAAAACCUCUUAACGAUUUUAAUGUUAUUUAAAGUAGGUGACUGUGUGGUAACUGUGUGGUAAAUGUGCUCUAAAUGUUCACAGUCAUCAAAUGUUUUUACAGAGAGAUGUAGAGAUGAAAAAAAACAACUUACAGACAUACAUCAAAUUUGACUUACAGUAUGAGACAUUAGAUUGUCAUUAGUUAGGAAGAAACGUGUCAUCAUAGAACAUUCUGUCUCAUUUCUGCAUAAUUUGAUGUAACAGUUGCCCCCAGUCUCCCGAAAUGUAUCGCAAGAAAAUAACGUUACAGGAUAAUUAUGGAGAACUCAAAAAUGAGUAUCUGAUUGAUUUGAUCAGAUCUAAAUUCAUCCUUCAAGAUCUGUGAUGUCUGUUAGGGAGAAUUCGUAACAGUUAUAUACUGUUGUAGUACUGAAGGGCACUCGCCUGUCAAGUUGCAGCGAGGCUGCUAAAUGUAACUCUGACAAUCCCAUAGCUGUAGAGCCAUUUCACAUAAAACCUUAAAGCUAAGAGGAUGAUCAAAUUCAGUAGGAAUAAUCCUCUGGGUAUCAUUAAUGUUUGUUCAAACUUUUGUUCCAGUUAGUCCGGUAAAUGUUGAGACAUAGCACAGCAUGUAAAAACUUGAACAGCUGAUGGCAUUACAGGAAAAAUUGGGGAAUCACCAAAGUCAGUAUGACUUAUCCUGUAGGAACAGGGAACAACUGUACUUAAUUUCAAGGCAAUCCAAUAGAUAUCUAGAUAUUCCAGUAAAGGCCAAAAAUGUCUUCCAGGCGGUUGCACUAGAGAAAAGGUCAGGGGAUCAGCUAAGCCAACUGGAUUCAUCCUCUGGAAAUCAAGAACAUCUGUACAAAAACAUUCGGAGAAAUUAUUAUUAUUUUUUUAUUUGAUAUACUAUUUUAAUCCCAAAUUGGGAAAUUCUUUUUUCCACUGACACACACAUGCAGUGUAGAGGAGAUGAGCGAAAGGGCAGCCACACGUGCCACGGCGCCCAAUGAGCAGUGUUAGUGGUCGGUGCCUUGCUCAAGGGCACCUCGGCAAUGCCCAGGAUGUGAACCAGAACUCUCCAACCGCCAGUCCACAUCAUUUUUUUUUUGGUCCGGGGGGACUCGAACCAGCAACCUUCAAGUCCCCAAGCUAACUCCCUACAGAUUGAGCUAUUGCCGAGGGGGGACAAGGUAGCCCAGACCCCCAUUUCAUGGAAAAACAGAUCACUGGGCCUCGCAACAAUGAAAAAUUAAUUAUAUUCCACACUUCGUGAUCUCACGCUCUCUCUCUUUUUUUUUUCGUGAACACUGACCUCUUUUGAGAUUUAUGCCAUUUUCUGCUGUUGGGACUGUCUGAGAGCCACAUCUGUGUGAGAUAAGAGUGAAGGGUUAAAGUAUCUCAAAUAUGUGACCCCAUGGACAUAUAUUUAUUAAUAAUAUCUGUAAAGAAUCUGUCAUGAGAAUCUGGAGCUUCAACACUCUGCUCUGUGAGGUGUUUUAUUAUGUGCUGUAUCGACGGAAAUCCGUGACUCACUUGGGAAAUCGGCAGGGCUCAGUAGAAGUUCUGCUAUGUCCUGAGGAAGCUGAGGAAGGCGUGUGUUUAUCUUGGCCUGAGAUAGUGGUUCCUGCUUCUGGAGAACACAAAUCAUCAAAACAAUAAUAAAUAAAUAAAAACAUCACAGGUUUGGUUUCAGAUUCACAAAGAGCAAACGAAACAAAACCUCAC
Long non-coding RNA from Sparus aurata (gilthead seabream), 5298 nucleotides. NCBI's taxonomy places the organism in Eukaryota, Metazoa, Chordata, Actinopteri, Spariformes, Sparidae. The record is from Ensembl.